UGGGGAAUAUUGGACAAUGGGCGAAAGCCUGAUCCAGCCAUGCCGCGUGUGUGAAGAAGGCCUUUUGGUUGUAAAGCACUUUAAGCGAGGAGGAGGCUACUUAGAUUAAUACUCUAGGAUAGUGGACGUUACUCGCAGAAUAAGCACCGGCUAACUCUGUGCCAGCAGCCGCGGUAAUACAGAGGGUGCGAGCGUUAAUCGGAUUUACUGGGCGUAAAGCGUGCGUAGGCGGCUUCUUAAGUCGGAUGUGAAAUCCCUGAGCUUAACUUAGGAAUUGCAUUCGAUACUGGGAAGCUAGAGUAUGUGAGAGGAUGGUAGAAUUCCAGGUGUAGCGGUGAAAUGCGUAGAGAUCUGGAUGAAUAACGAUGGCGAAGGCAGCCAUCUGGCCUAAUACUGACGCUGAGGUACGAAAGCAUGGGGAGCAAACAGG
This 430-nucleotide ribosomal RNA is filed under the name bacterium. RNAcentral describes it as "partial 16S ribosomal RNA". It matches the Rfam family "Bacterial small subunit ribosomal RNA", at positions 355 to 776 of the family's 1533-position model. The record is from RNAcentral.